Molecule: ribosomal RNA, 465 nt
Filed under: uncultured bacterium
Lineage: Bacteria
Description: partial 16S ribosomal RNA
Rfam family: Bacterial small subunit ribosomal RNA
Source: RNAcentral
GACGAACGCUGGCGGCGUGCUUAACACAUGCAAGUCGAACGGAAAGGCCCUGCUUGCAGGGUACUCGAGUGGCGAACGGGUGAGUAACACGUGGGUGAUCUGCCCUGCACUUCGGGAUAAGCCUGGGAAACUGGGUCUAAUACCGGAUAGGAGCCAUUUUUAGUGUGAUGGUUGGAAAGUUUUUUCGGUGUAGGAUGAGCUCGCGGCCUAUCAGCUUGUUGGUGGGGUAAUGGCCUACCAAGGCGGCGACGGGUAGCCGGCCUGAGAGGGUGGUCGGCCACAUUGGGACUGAGAUACGGCCCAGACUCCUACGGGAGGCAGCAGUGGGGAAUAUUGCACAAUGGGCGCAAGCCUGAUGCAGCGACGCCGCGUGGGGGAGGACGGCCUUCGGGUUGUAAACUCCUUUCGCUAGGGACGAAGCUUUUUGUGACGGUACCUAGAUAAGAAGCACCGGCUAACUACGUG